CAAAGUUCAACGGGAAAAAGACCGAAAACUACUAUGCUUUUCAAGCAGAGGUCAGAGCGACUCAUGGCGACUCAUGUCGGCUUGGCUACCCUAUGUGGAGUCUCGCUACUAGUGCUUAUCUACAUAUUUCCUCCAGACCCGCAUAUAAAACAAGCCUCGAGGAACAAAUCUGCUGGAAUCACAUUAGAUAUCAAGGCGCAUUUGGCAGGGGCGGACUUACUUAAAGAACACUGUAGAAAAAGUGUUGGACGCAAGGAGGCACCUUUAUCGGAAGUCCUAAAAAGCCUCAUCGUUAUCGAUAAAUACAAAGUGCUGUAUUGCCGAACAGGUAAAACAGGCAGCUGGACCACAAUGCAGCUCUUGUAUAACUUGGAAUUAGGCACCAAUAUGAGUCGCCGCGAGGUGAGGAAGUUUGCUAGAGAGAAGCGGCUACCAAUUCUUUCAGAUUUUUCUGAGGAGGAUAUCUGGCUUCGUCUUGCUACGUACAAGAAGUUUCUUGUAGCUAGGAAUCCA
This is a long non-coding RNA of Branchiostoma floridae (Florida lancelet), 513 nucleotides long. RefSeq lists it as uncharacterized. Lineage: Eukaryota; Metazoa; Chordata; Leptocardii; Amphioxiformes; Branchiostomatidae. The transcript has 3 exons. The record is from RefSeq and is a predicted model, not a curated record.